GCUCUCAUGAACGAUGACAUAGCCGAUGACUUCGCGUGUGCCAGUGAAAUGCUCAAUAGACACCGCGAUUGGGCCGCGUGGCAACCGUGGUCGGUCCACUGUCUACCUAACAACGACAUCGCUUCCUACAUCACCGACUGCAUCGAGGAUAAGAUCGUGCAGCCGCUAACGUUCACCGACGAUGAUGACAAACCAGAAAUGCCUCAGAGAAUUCGAAUUAGAAAUUAGGCGCGCCUUAGAGGCGCAGCAGCACGAGCAGCGACACGAGUGAUAGAAAGGGUGAUAGGAGUGAGAUAGAGUGAUAGAGUGAGGCGGAGUGAUAGAUGGGAACACGCCCGAGGAAGAUGGGGAGGAGUAGAAGAUCAGUAGGAGCGCAAAAUUAAACAUCUAUGUGUAAUAUAAUAAUAUAUACAUAAUGUAUGAAUGCUCGAAUAUACAUUAUAUUAUACUGUUCAAUAUGAGCCGCAAAAUGAACCACCACCACCACCACCAUCAACAACAAUAACAUCAUCAUCAACACCAACAACAACAACAUCAUCACCACCACCACCACCAACAACAACAACAACAACAACAACAACAACAACACCAACAGCAGCAGCAGCAACAACAGCAACAUUAUCAUCACCAACAACAACAGCAGUAGCAGCAACAACAACAACAACAACAACAACAACAACAACAACAACAGCAGCAGUAGCAACAACAACAACAACAACAACAACAGCAGCAGUAGCAACAACAACAACAACAACAACAACAAAUACAACAGCAACACCACCAACAACAACCACCUCAAGCAGCAACAGAUUCUAGUCCCUGAUUCGUCCAGAGAGCAAAAUAUACACUACGUAAAAGCAGUUCGGUUUACUUCUAUAGUGACGACGUUGACCAAAAUUUAAAGCACCCGACGAAGACGAAAAAUAGCGGCUAUUCGUGUUUACAUGUUAUA
Long non-coding RNA from Priapulus caudatus, 952 nucleotides. RefSeq lists it as uncharacterized. The transcript is spliced from 2 exons. The record is from RefSeq and is a predicted model, not a curated record. NCBI's taxonomy places the organism in Eukaryota, Metazoa, Priapulida, Priapulimorpha, Priapulimorphida, Priapulidae.